This 324-nucleotide ribosomal RNA is filed under the name Pireneitega xiyankouensis. RNAcentral's name for it is "partial small subunit ribosomal RNA". Lineage: Eukaryota; Metazoa; Arthropoda; Arachnida; Araneae; Agelenidae. The record is from RNAcentral.
UAAACUAGGAUUAGAUACCCUAUUAUAUUUUAAUAAAUAAAGUAGUAAUAAAAUAAUAAAACUAAUUUAUUUUUGGCGGCAUUUUAUCUUCUUAGAGGAAUUUGUCUAUUAAUCGAUAAUCCACGUUAAUUUUCACUUAAAUUCAUAAUUUAUAUACCGCCAUUUUAAGAAACAAUUAAAAAUUCUCUCCCAAUAAUUAAUAAAAAAUUAGGUCAAGGUGUAAUCCAUAUUUAAGAUUAGAUGAAUUACAUUAAAUAAUAUUUCAAGCUUAUUCAUUCAUAUAUAAAUACAAAUAAGAAUUUAAAAGUAAUAUAAUAAUAAUAA